UCAAAGCUUGCUUUGAUGGAUGGCGACCGGCGCACGGGUGAGUAACACGUAUCCAACCUGCCGACAACACUGGGAUAGCCUUUCGAAAGAAAGAUUACUACCGGAUGGCAUAGUUUUCCCGCAUGGGAUGAUUAUUAAAGAAUUUCGGUUGUCGAUGGGGAUGCGUUCCAUUAGGCAGUUGGCGGGGUAACGGCCCACCAAACCAACGAUGGAUAGGGGUUCUGAGAGGAAGGUCCCCCACAUUGGAACUGAGACACGGUCCAAACUCCUACGGGAGGCAGCAGUGAGGAAUAUUGGUCAAUGGACGAGAGUCUGAACCAGCCAAGUAGCGUGAAGGAUGACUGCCCUAUGGGUUGUAAACUUCUUUUAUACGGGAAUAAAGUUAGCCACGUGUGGCUUUUUGUAUGUACCGUAUGAAUAAGGAUCGGCUAACUCCGUGCCAGCAGCCGCGGUAAUACGGAGGAUCCGAGCGUUAUCCGGAUUUAUUGGGUUUAAAGGGAGCGUAGAUGGAUGUUUAAGUCAGUUGUGAAAGUUUGCGGCUCAACCGUAAAAUUGCAGUUGAUACUGGAUAUCUUGAGUGCAGUUGAGGCAGGCGGAAUUCGUGGUGUAGCGGUGAAAUGCUUAGAUAUCACGAAGAACUCCGAUUG
This 647-nucleotide ribosomal RNA is filed under the name uncultured Bacteroides sp. Its description in RNAcentral is "bacterial SSU rRNA". It matches the Rfam family "Bacterial small subunit ribosomal RNA", at positions 73 to 715 of the family's 1533-position model. Lineage: Bacteria; Pseudomonadati; Bacteroidota; Bacteroidia; Bacteroidales; Bacteroidaceae. The record is from RNAcentral.